AUGACCGGCAAAGAAACCAAGAAUGUGAAUGCUGACAGAAUAUUGGGGAAGAGUGCCUUAUUAAGCAACGGUAAAGGAAGUAAUGCAGAUAAGGUUCAGUAUAGUGACACAUUCUGUCUUGGUUUAGUGUUGGAGUUACUGGCCACUACCGCUUGCACAAGCUAUUCAAACUCACUGUUUGAAUCAGUUCGGUUUCUUGAGUCUCAACUACAAGCUGAAAGACAUCGAUCAGCCGUGUUGCGGCAAGAAGCGGAAGGACUGCGGAAGUCCCUGGAGCAUUCAGAUGCAUACUUUCUGGUGCAACAGCAAGCGUUGGAGGAUUUUAGCGCCAAACAGGACAAAGCUAAUCAGCUUGCUAAGCUUAUUGCCAGCAUGGUGGAUACCCAGGAUAACGUUUCUUGA
Molecule: ribosomal RNA, 402 nt
Filed under: Triticum aestivum (bread wheat)
Lineage: Eukaryota; Viridiplantae; Streptophyta; Magnoliopsida; Poales; Poaceae
Description: partial small subunit ribosomal RNA
Source: RNAcentral